RNAcentral lists this long non-coding RNA (1343 nucleotides) under Sinocyclocheilus anshuiensis. RNAcentral's name for it is "lncRNA (ENSSANG00000036917.1)". Lineage: Eukaryota; Metazoa; Chordata; Actinopteri; Cypriniformes; Cyprinidae. The record is from RNAcentral.
GAAUCUUCUGCUUUUAGUCUUGUCUUGGGCACCCAGUGACGGGUUCUUCUGAUCAUUAUUAUUAUUAUUGUCUGACCGUUUUCAUGAAAGCAACACCAAAGACCAUAGAGAUGUUCUGAGGAAGAUCACUAUAGUGCCUCAACUAGCUGGCAAAAUAAACAGCCAGGUUGCAGAACAACUGUUCUCAAAGAUGAGGAAAAACAACUAUUUUUUAAACAUGUCUCGGCCUUCUACUCAUUUGUUUCAAAUGAGAACCAUAAUUCACCACUACAAUGAAAAAAGGAACAAUAAAGUGAUGACCAAAUUAAGGAAGACUUUUGGAUCUAAGAUGGUGGUGAAUAUGCAUGGACAAGCUGUGUUGGGUGAAGAAAAAUACCUUAUAUGAAAUAUUAAACACUGUUUUUACAAUUGGUGGAAAGACAUUGGCCACCAAACAUAAUGUGUGUUUUGAAGUAACUGAGUUUUGGAUGUAACUUUAGAUUUGUUUGUAUUGUAACAGAAAACAUGAACAUCUCCAGUGAGGAAACCACAGAAAUUGAGAUGGAGGACACAACCCUUACAUCUGUGACAGUCCCAACCACAGAAAAUGAAAUGGUGUGUAACAUCAAACACCUGUCUGCAAAUAGAGUGUGCUGGGAUUGUCUACCAAGUCAUAGGCAAUCAGAAAUGCUUGACUGGGCCUUGAGAAUAGAGAACCCAGAUGAGACAAUUGCUGAAAUUGACAACAUUGUCCUGAAAAGAAAAGAUUUUUGGACGCUGGGUCUCAAUGAGCAGUUGGAGGCAACAAUUGCAAACAGCUGUCUUGAAGUGGUUGCAUUGGUGGCUAAAGAACAGGGAAUGGAUGUGUGGACAGCUGACGCAUAUGUUGUGGCUACCUGGUUACCUCCAAAUAAUUUGGACCCAUCACUGUCUUUUCCAUAAGAUGACAGCUAAAAUUGCACCUGGCACAUGGAUGCUACUAAAAAACAAGGUUAAUUUUGUAAUUGGGACAUAUGUCAAUCUCUUACACACAACCUAAAUAUUUUUCUUUUUCAUUUUUUUUUAAGGAUGUCCCCCAACAGAUUGGCUAUGUGGACUGUGGAUUUUCAUUCAGGGAAGACAUGGAGAUUUUUUUAGUUGAAUGCCAUGAAAAAAUGGGGUUAAAAUUGAAUUCUUCGUUUGAAGAGUGAAAAGUAUAAGACUUUCAAAAGCUUUUUUUUUUUUUUAUAUUACAAUUAAAUUUCUAAAUUUUAAUUUUAGUUCUAUUUUUGGUUGUUGAAAUGUUUUUUUUUUAUUAGUAUGUUGCACUUUUUCCAUGUUCAAUUUGAAUUUUAAAAUAAAAAGUAUUCUUGACAUCAAACGUC